RNAcentral lists this ribosomal RNA (482 nucleotides) under uncultured bacterium. RNAcentral's name for it is "partial 16S ribosomal RNA". It matches the Rfam family "Bacterial small subunit ribosomal RNA", at positions 28 to 523 of the family's 1533-position model. The record is from RNAcentral.
AGUGAACGUUGGCGGCGUGGAUUAGGCAUGCAAGUCGAGCGAGAACCGUAGCAAUACGGGGACAGCGGCGAAAGGGACAGUAAUGUGUAGGUACCUACCCCGGGGUCUGGGAUAGCUGCGGGAAACUGCAGGUAAUACCGGAUAAUGUCUUCGGACCAAAGGUGGGAUUCCACCUUGGGAGGGGCCUGCAUCCUAUUAGCUUGUUGGCGGGGUAACGGCCCACCAAGGCAACGAUGGGUAGGGGGUGUGAGAGCACGACCCGCGUCAUUGGGACUGAGAUACUGCCCGGACACCUACGGGUGGCUGCAGUCGAGGAUAUUCGGCAAUGGGCGAAAGCCUGACCGAGCGACGCCGCGUGCGGGAUGAAGGCCCUCGGGUUGUAAACCGCUGUCGUAGAGGAGGAAAUGCAGGGGGGUUCUCCCUUCUGUUUGACCUAUUCUAGGAGGAAGGACGGGCUAAGUUCGUGCCAGCCGCCGCUGUAA